Molecule: long non-coding RNA, 1776 nt
Filed under: Salmo salar (Atlantic salmon)
Lineage: Eukaryota; Metazoa; Chordata; Actinopteri; Salmoniformes; Salmonidae
Description: lncRNA (ENSSSAG00000111150.1)
Source: RNAcentral
GCCAGGGAUUCUACAGGGGGCCAGGGAACCUGCAGGGGGCCAGGGAUCCUGCAGGGGGCCAGGGAUUCUACAGGGGGCCAGGGAUUCUGCAGGGGGCCAGGGAUUCUUCCCCUGAGAGUGUUGAACUGGUUUAAUAGAACAGUGUUGAACUGGUUUAAUAGAACAGUGUUGAACUGGUUUAAUAGAACAGUGUUGUACUGGUUUAAUAGAACAGUGUUGAACUGGUUUAAUAGAACAGUGUUGAACUGGUUUAAUAGAACAGUGUUGAACUGUUACAUGGAACAGGACCCAGUGGGUCUGCAGGUGGAGUUUCAUAGGGAUGAAUGGAUCUGAUAGAUGGAACAGGACCCAGUGGGUCUGCAGGUGGAGUUUCAUAGGGAUGAAUGGUUCUGAUAGAUGGAACAGGACCCAGUGGGUCUGCAGGUGGAGUUUCACAGGGAUGAAUGGUUCUGAUAGAUGGAACAGGACCCAGUGGGUCUGCAGGUGGAGUUUCAUAUGGAUGAAUGGUUCUGAUAGAUGGAACAGGACCCAGUGGGUCUGCAGGUGGAGUUUACAUUUACAUUUAAGUCAAAGUUUCAUAGGGAUGAAUGGUUCUGAUAGAUGGAACAGGACCCAGUGGGUCUGCAGGUGGAGUUUAAUAGGGAUGAAUGGCUCGGUUCUGGUCAGUACAUGACUGUCCAAGAAGGAAAGUUUUCAUUGGUGCUGCUGUAAUAGUGUGACCAAUCACCAUCACUUCCCAGACAGGAGUUUUACAGACAGACAGACAGACAGACAGACAGACAGACAGACAGACAGACAGAGGGUCUUGUCAGUGGACAGACAGUCUCUCCAGAUGGUCAGUGGACAGACAGUCUCUCCAGAUGGUCAGUGGACAGACAAUCUCUCCAAAUGGUCAGUGGACAGACAGUCUCUCCAAAUGGUCAGUGGACAGACAGUCUCUCCAAAUGGUCAGUGGACAGACAGUCUCUCCAGAUGGUCAGUGCGGUAGAUCAGUGAUUUGGCUCUGAGAUUGACCACUGUGAUGGUGAUGGCACAGGAAGGAAAACACUAACGGCAGCGUGUGAUUUGUUUGGCGUGCUGGCCACUGGCGAGGUGGUAAAGUCCUCCUGUUGAUUGUGUGGUGUGGCUUGAUAAGGCUGCCAUGGCGAUGGUGUUUGUGAGAGGGGAAAACACAGUAACGUGUAACACACACACACACACACACACACACACACACACACACACACACACACACACACCUCACCCAGAGAGCAGCUGCACUUGGCAAAGGGAAUAUUUCAAUCCAUUUCUAGUAUGUCUAGUUCCUCUCCUCCCUGACAGAAUGACAUUUAGUUCCUCUGUAAUGUCUGCCGCUGUCUGAGACAGUGUUGUUCUGUCCGUCUCUGUAAUGUCUGCCGCUGUCUGAGACAGAGCUUCCUUCACUGUUUCCAUUGUUUCCUGUGAUAUAAAGGAAGUCGCCAAGACAUCUUUAUUCAUUUAAUCUCCAUUCCAAGACACCCCAAUUCAUUUAUUCUCCAUUCCAAGACACCCCAAUUCAUUUAUUCUCCGUUCCAAGACACCCCAAUUCAUUUAAUCUCCGUUCCAAGACACCCCAAUUCAUUUAAUCUCCGUUCCAGGCGUCAGGUUGGGGAGGUAGGAAACACAUGCGUGUAGCGUGAUAAGGCUGAUGGUGCUUGUGACAGGAGAAAAACACAGUAACGUGUACACGUGUACACACACACACACACACGUUUUGACGCGACCCUGAUGUAAAUGUUGCGAUGUGAAAACCCUGCG